UUUAAAUUCAUGCUCUUCUGUUUUAAAUUCACCAAUAAAGAGUAAGCCCUCAAAAAUCCUAGGCCCCCACCCCCAUAAAAGCAGGACCCAGGCCUAUGCACUCUCUCUCUCUCCUCACGGCCUUGCUGUGUGGCCCUCGGUGUGCUGUGCAACUUCCAGGUCUGUUGAGGACACAGAGACCCUAUGGAUGGCUACUUCAAAGAUAGAAACCCGGGUCCCUGCACCACCAAAUGGUCAACCAGAAACACAUCCACUGGCUGCUAUGUGAGAGAAGAAAAUACACUUCUAUUGUGUUAAUCUACCAAAAUUGAGGAUUCAUUCCAAUUGAGUUAUUCCAAUUAUGUUAUUAGCAUUCCUCUAACUAAUAAUAUGAAUAUGCCAUUCCUUUUUGAAAGAAAUAUUUCAAUCAAUGACUGACAAUGUUAGGAUUGUUGAUUUUGCUUUGGAAUUACCACAAAGGCAAGAAUUUAAUUAGCACAUGCUCUGUGGGAAAAGGGUGAGGUCAGAAGAAGUGAUAAAGCAGGAAAUCUAAUCCUCUCAGUCAGGGGUCAGGAAAUUUUUACCGUAAAAGUUAAGACAGUAAGUAUGUUCAGCUUUGUGGGCCACAUGGAUCUCUGUUGCAUAGUCUUUUGUUUUUUUUAACAACUCUUUAAAAAUGUAAAAAUCUUUCCUAGCUCAUAAGCUACAAGAUAACAGACUUUGGACAAGAUCUGGCCCAUGGGCCCAAGAUUACCAGUGUCUAAGUGACUGGAGGAUGUAGGACUUGAAUCUCAUGCUGAUGAGUAAGACCCCUCUAGGGGACAUGAAUGGAUGCAUUCUACUUUAAGGCUAUGAAUUCCUUGAAGAUUGUUGGAGAAGGUCAUGGAGAAGAUGUGACCAAUAGUUGACCCAAGAGGUGGACCUGGGCAAUUGGAGGUUCCUCCUCUCCUCUUCUGUCUUUGGAAUGUACAUUCUUCCCACAGUUCCCACAGUUGGAUCCAUUUUCAAGGACACAGCCUUGAGAGAGCAAUGCAUUAUUGAGACUAUCUGAGUGGCAUAUGUAAUUGAACCCCCAUUGAGGCUUCUACAUAAAUUUUCAAGAUUCUGGUGGGUGGGUGCUGAGAUCUACUCAUCAUCUUGAGGCUGCCCAAAACAAGCCUCGUGUGCAAGUUCCCUUGAUUAUUAAAACUGCCACCUACCAAUCUGGAGGGGACUGCUUCUUUCUUUGGUCUCUCCUUGCCCUCUGUGUAUGCAGACCAGUUCUGGAUUUCACUUGAGAAGCUCUCGAGUUCAAGAACCAACAAAGGCAAGAAUCAUGUUUUAUGCUUUCAUCUUAACCAUUAUUCCGCUUGAUAUAGGGCUUUAAAUUUCAUUCUAAUUUUGACUCUUCUACUGCCGUGUGCAAAGCUCUGUGUUAGGCACUCUAGACUUAAGUAUAAAAUUUAUGCCUCUCUCCAAAAUAAAAUUAAGUUGAAUUGAAAUAAAAUUUAUCUAAUUGAAUUAUACUGGCAGAAUUGCAAUAAUAAUUCCAGAACAGAAUGCUAAGCAUUUUGUAAUAUACAACUAUGUCAUAUUCCUCUUCCUAUGAGCAAUAGCCUUUGCUAUCGUGGAAUGUCUAUGUCGCUUUCAAUUGUUAAUAUUUAUAUGUGGAAGCUUCAUUGAGAAAAAAAAGUGCUGCUUUUUCCUUUGACCUGAUACAUAAAGAAACAGAGUAAAAUAUUUACAAAUUUUAUAUAAGGCUUCUAUCUGAAUAGAAAUAAAAAUCAUAGAAAUUUUGUCUGAGAUUUGGUGAUUUCACCUAGGGGUUUGAUAUCAUAGGAUAUUAUCUUCUCAAGCUCAUUCUAAGACUUAUUUGUAUAUUUAGUUAUCCUGCACAUAGAAAUCCC
This is a long non-coding RNA of Equus asinus (donkey), 1865 nucleotides long. Lineage: Eukaryota; Metazoa; Chordata; Mammalia; Perissodactyla; Equidae. The record is from Ensembl.